UGCGUAGGCGGAUUAAUAAGUCAGUGGUGAAAACCUGCAGCUUAACUGUAGAACAGCCAUUGAUACUGUUAGUCUUGAGUACGGUCAAGGUAGGCGGAAUGUGUAAUGUAGCGGUGAAAUGCUUAGAUAUUACACAGAACACCGAUUGCGAAGGCAGCUUACUGGACCAUUACUGACGCUGAGGCACGAAAGCGUGGGGAGCGAACAGGAUUAGAUACCCUGGUAGUCC
This 229-nucleotide ribosomal RNA is filed under the name uncultured bacterium. Its description in RNAcentral is "partial 16S ribosomal RNA". It matches the Rfam family "Bacterial small subunit ribosomal RNA", at positions 568 to 796 of the family's 1533-position model. The record is from RNAcentral.